RNAcentral lists this ribosomal RNA (498 nucleotides) under uncultured bacterium. Its description in RNAcentral is "partial 16S ribosomal RNA". It matches the Rfam family "Bacterial small subunit ribosomal RNA", at positions 29 to 507 of the family's 1533-position model. The record is from RNAcentral.
ACGAACGCUGGCGGCGUGCUUAACACAUGCAAGUCGAACGGGCCCGCUCUCUUUUUUGGGGGUGGGUUGAGUGGCGAACGGGUGAGUAUCACGUGAGUAACCUGCCCCCUGCUCCUGGAUAACUGCUUGAAAGGGCGGCUAAUACGGGGUGUGCCGGCUGGUCCGCAUGGGCCUGGUCGGGAUAGUUUCAUCUUCGGGUGUUUCGGUGGGGGAUGGGCUCGCGGCCUAUCAGCUUGUUGGUGGGGUGAUGGCCCACCAAGGCGGUGACGGGUAGCCGGCCUGAGAGGGUGGGCGGCCACACUGGGACUGAGACACGGCCCAGACUCCGGCGGGAGGCAGCAGUGGGGGGUAUUGCACAAUGGGCGGAAGCCUGAUGCAGCGACGUCGCGUGAGGGAUGGAGGCCUUCGGGUUGUGAACCUCUUUCUCCGGUGGUGAAGGCCCUGUCCGUUGCGGCGGGGUUGACGGUAGCCGGGUAUGAAGCGCCGGCUAACUACGUG